GACGAACGCUGGCGGCGUGCUUAACACAUGCAAGUCGAACGGUGAUGCUCCAGCUUGCUGGAGUGGAUCAGUGGCGAACGGGUGAGUAACACGUGAGCAACCUGCCCCAGACUCUGGAAUAAGCGCUGGAAACGGCGUCUAAUACUGGAUACGAAACUGGCCCGCAUGGGCGGGGUUUGGAAAGUUUGUCGGUUUGGGAUGGGCUCGCGGCCUAUCAGCUUGUUGGUGGGGUAAUGGCUCACCAAGGCGACGACGGGUAGCCGGCCUGAGAGGGCGACCGGCCACACUGGGACUGAGACACGGCCCAGACUCCUACGGGAGGCAGCAGUGGGGAAUAUUGCACAAUGGGCGAAAGCCUGAUGCAGCGACGCCGCGUGAGGGAUGACGGCCUUCGGGUUGUAAACCUCUUUCAGCAGGGAAGAAGCGAAAGUGACGGUACCUGCAGAAGAAGCACCGGCUAACUACGUG
This 468-nucleotide ribosomal RNA is filed under the name uncultured bacterium. Its description in RNAcentral is "partial 16S ribosomal RNA". It matches the Rfam family "Bacterial small subunit ribosomal RNA", at positions 28 to 507 of the family's 1533-position model. The record is from RNAcentral.